ACGGCACCGCAGACCACGCCC
Molecule: microRNA, 21 nt
Filed under: Oreochromis niloticus (Nile tilapia)
Lineage: Eukaryota; Metazoa; Chordata; Actinopteri; Cichliformes; Cichlidae
Description: oni-miR-10548c
Source: miRBase by way of RNAcentral